RNAcentral lists this ribosomal RNA (446 nucleotides) under uncultured bacterium. RNAcentral's name for it is "partial 16S ribosomal RNA". It matches the Rfam family "Bacterial small subunit ribosomal RNA", at positions 354 to 796 of the family's 1533-position model. The record is from RNAcentral.
GUAGGGAAUAUUGGACAAUGGGGGGAACCCUGAUCCAGCCAUGCCGCGUGGAGGAAGACUGCCCUCUGGGUUGUAAACUCCUUUUAUAUGGGAAGAACCGUCCUCAUUAAUGAGUGACCUGACGGUACCAUAGGAAUAAGCACCGGCUAACUCCGUGCCAGCAGCCGCGGUAAUACGGAGGGUGCAAGCGUUAUCCGGAUUCACUGGGUUUAAAGGGUGCGUAGGCGGAUAAAUAAGUCAGUGGUGAAAUCAACGGGCUCAACCUGUUAACUGCCAUUGAUACUGUGUAUCUUGAAUAUGAGAGAGGUAGGCGGAAUGUUGCAUGUAGCGGUGAAAUGCUUAGAUAUGCUACGGAACACCGAUUGCGAAGGCAGCUUACUAUUUCGUAAUUGACGCUGAGGCACGAAAGCGUGGGUAGCAAACAGGAUUAGACACCCCAGUAGUCC